Long non-coding RNA from Dalotia coriaria, 938 nucleotides. RefSeq lists it as uncharacterized. Lineage: Eukaryota; Metazoa; Arthropoda; Insecta; Coleoptera; Staphylinidae. The record is from RefSeq and is a predicted model, not a curated record. The transcript is spliced from 2 exons.
ACUAGCGCGUCAGUGAAGUGAACCUCACGCACUCCACACCACACAUACUCGCACCAUCCGCAUUCAAACGCACACGCACUUCCCUUCUUCACGUUUGCCAUCAUCCAGCCCUCAGAGGAAGCGAUGUCAGGACUUGAUCCCACUGGCUUGUACUGAAUCAACUCGUUCCGCAGCCAAUCACACGUGAUUUAUCAUCGUACAGACGACUUUUGACAACUUUAAGAGACAUCACUCUUCUCACACUCUUACACUUCAUCAUGGACGGCGGCAAGAAGAUCCUCGACCCCACCGGGCAGUACUGAGUACUGAUAAAGUGCGCAAUCACAACAAUCGAUCUGCAAAUCGGCGAAUCCGGAGUUGAUUUCGGUCAACUUUUUAAUUCAAAACAAAAAAUAUCCAAACCAACAAGACAAGAUGAACGGCGGCAAGGCCCUCGAUCCCACCGGGUUGUACUAGAUGUGGCAUCGUGUCGGCGGCGACGGCGGUCGCAGGGAGACAUCAAGUUGUAGACGAAGAAGACUCUGAACACAAUGGGGACGAAAAAAAAGAAAAAGAAACAAAAAACGAGCCACACGAGCGAAAACACUGCCACUUAGUUACCCAUCCCAUUGAUACAUGGAUGCGUUAAGACUGAUUGUUGUUUUUUAUUAUUAUUAUUAUUAUUAAUUAUUAAACAUAUUUUGUUAUAUUAAAUUAUAUAUUUAGCUGUAAGUAUCUUCUUUCUGUCUCGCAAAACUCGAAAUCCGAAAAAAUCGAUUCAUUCAAUUACUUAUUUUAUUUAAAAUCAGAAAUUUAUAAACAUUUAUAAACAAUUUGUGUAAUUUUUUGUAGUUUCUGUAAUUUUUGGUCAUUUCUGUAUGUUGUUUGUACUUGUAAUGUGCAUUAAGUCUUAUUAUUCUUAUCUUCGAGCAGAUAUGAAAUAUAUUUUUUAAUUAAAA